GAUGAACGCUAGCGGCAGGCUUAAUACAUGCAAGUCGAACGGGAUCCGAGGUAGCAAUACUUUGGUGAGAGUGGCGCACGGGUGCGUAACGCGUAUGCAACCUACCUUUAACGGGGACACAACCCGCCGAAAGGCUGGCUAAUAUCCCAUAACAUUGCGAUGUGGCAUCACAUUGCAAUUAAAGCUCCGGCGGUUAUAGAUGGGCAUGCGUGACAUUAGCUAGUUGGUAAGGUAACGGCUUACCAAGGCUUCGAUGUCUAGGGGUUCUGAGAGGAUUAUCCCCCACACUGGUACUGAGACACGGACCAGACUCCUACGGGAGGCAGCAGUAAGGAAUAUUGGGCAAUGGACGCAAGUCUGACCCAGCCAUGCCGCGUGAAGGAUGAAGGCCCUAUGGGUUGUAAACUUCUUUUAUACGGGAAAAAACCUUCGGUCGUGAACCGGAGCUGAUGGUACCGUAAGAAUAAGCAUCGGCUAACUCCGUGCCAGCAGCCGCGGUAAU
RNAcentral lists this ribosomal RNA (502 nucleotides) under uncultured bacterium. RNAcentral describes it as "bacterial SSU rRNA". It matches the Rfam family "Bacterial small subunit ribosomal RNA", at positions 28 to 524 of the family's 1533-position model. The record is from RNAcentral.